Molecule: long non-coding RNA, 1894 nt
Filed under: Mus musculus (house mouse)
Lineage: Eukaryota; Metazoa; Chordata; Mammalia; Rodentia; Muridae
Description: long non-coding RNA chr7:36165025-36166919
Source: RNAcentral
GACGUGUCUGGGACAGUGGUACCCACCCGAAAUCCAGGCAGUCAGAAGGUUGAGGCAGGAGGAUCACGACUUCAAGUUCAUCCUGGGCUCUGCAGUGAUUUUUGGUCAAGUCUGAACCACACAGUGAGACUUUAUCUCGUUUCUCCUCACGAGGAACAAGACCAGCAAAUGUAUUACUUUAUUCUCCUGUUUCUGGGAUGAAAUAUCUGAAUAGCAGUGGCCUCAAGGAAGAAGGAUUUCUCUGAGCUCAUGGUUUCAUGGUGGGGAAGGCAUGGCUGGGACUCUAUCACAGUGACAGAAGUUGGAAAAGGGACCCGUGCAUCUUGGUGCAUCAGGAAGCAGAGACCCCAGGCCAAGUAAGCAUGUUUGACGUAACCCUUUAGCCCCUCUCUAAGCUAGCUAGGGCCAGCUAGCUCAUAGAUCAAAAGUUCUACUACAUCUUACAACCAUAGACACCAGUUGGGGGAUCAAGUAUUCAAACAAGAGCAAGAAACAGGAGUUAGGGUGGCUUCAGAGGUUCCUGGCUUAGGGAUCAGCAGUCGUCCAGGAGAGAAGGGAUGAGACUGGUCUAGAAGCAGAUGGAGUUAGAGUUAAGAGCACAGUGUGAGGCCUCUGGCUGACACUGCAGUGACUCCCUUUUCCUAGAUCCCAGGCUGAGCUGAGUUUGGAUUGCUCAAACUUAUGUCCUGGAGAGAGCUGAAGUUAGAUCUACUGGUUUCUUUUCUAGUUGCUAUGACAAAAUACCAGACAAAAGCAAGUUGAAAAGAAGAAAGGUUUGUUUUGGCUCACAGCUGUAGUUCAUUGCAGCAGACAGGUAUGAGAGAGCUGACCAUUUUGUUUCCACUGUCAAGAAGCCGAGAGAGGUGAAUGCUCACACUCAGCUUGCUUUCUCUGCUGUAUUUAGCCAAGCACCCUGUCCUGCUGACCCCUGCUGCUCACAUUCAGAUAGGGGCUUCCCACCUCAGUUAACCCAGUGUGGAAAAUUUCUUCCAGUGGUGAACAGAGAUUUGAUUCCUAGGUGUUUCUAGAUCCCAUCAAGGUGGAAAUCAGUAUUAACCAUCACUGUCUUAUUCCAAAACAGAUGAGCCAAUAGGACAUUUUACACAAGAAAUUCUACACCUUUCUCUUUGAGUGAUCACACAGGGGAGUUGACCAACCUGUUCAUGUUAGCAGGUUGGGAAGCCCCCAUCCCAUACUGUGUACCACGUCCUUCCAACACCCACCUCACAUGCCACAAUACCUGCCAGCAGAUUCUCUCUGAUGGUCCCUGUUCUUGGAGGAAUCUUCACUCAGAAGCCAGGCAUUGGAGGGUUUGCUCUGGCAAUCUGAAAUAUGACUAUACAGAACUGGAACCAAGAAUGCCAUAUUUGUUUGAACAUGUGGAAAACCAAGGGCCAUGGAGGGGGAAGGAAUGGGGAGGGAAGGAGAGAGGGAUAUUGAGUGGGUGUAUAGAGGUAGAAAGGUGUGUGUGUGUGUGUGUGUGUGUGUGUGUGUGUGUGUGAUGAAAACAACAAUAUAGAAAUGAAAUAUAGGAUGCAUCCGUGAUGGGGCUGGAGAGCUGGCUCAGGAGCUAGGGCCACACUGGCUGCUCUUGCAGAGGACCAAGAUUUGAUUCCCAGCAUCUACAUGGCAGCUCACAGCUAACCAUAACCCCUGUUCCAGGGGACCCCAUGUUCUUUUCUGGCCUUUUUGGGAACCAGACACACAUGCAGUACGCAGGAAUACACACAGGCAAAACACUCAUACACUUAAAAUUAAAUUAAAAAUCCAAAAGGAAAUGUUUUUAAAGUACAUCAAGUGACAUUCAGGAAGACCUUACAUUCAGAGACCAAGAGUAGCUUAGGGAGUCGGCUCGUUUACAGGAGGCAUCACAGCAAUUAAAACCGUGAUCCUG